UGGGUUGUAGCUAAGUGGUAGAGCAUUUGCCUAGCAUGCAUGAGGCACUGGGUUCGAUUCUCAGCACCACAU
Molecule: transfer RNA, 72 nt
Filed under: Ictidomys tridecemlineatus (thirteen-lined ground squirrel)
Lineage: Eukaryota; Metazoa; Chordata; Mammalia; Rodentia; Sciuridae
Description: Spermophilus tridecemlineatus (thirteen-lined ground squirrel) tRNA
Rfam family: tRNA
About the family: Transfer RNA (tRNA) molecules are approximately 80 nucleotides in length. Their secondary structure includes four short double-helical elements and three loops (D, anti-codon, and T loops). Further hydrogen bonds mediate the characteristic L-shaped molecular structure. tRNAs have two regions of fundamental functional importance: the anti-codon, which is responsible for specific mRNA codon recognition, and the 3' end, to which the tRNAs corresponding amino acid is attached (by aminoacyl-tRNA synthetases). tRNAs cope with the degeneracy of the genetic code in two manners: having more than one tRNA (with a specific anti-codon) for a particular amino acid; and 'wobble' base-pairing, i.e. permitting non-standard base-pairing at the 3rd anti-codon position.
Source: Rfam by way of RNAcentral